CGGCGAGGUGAUAUGAACCUUUGACCCGGCGAUGUCCGAAUGGGGAAACCCAGUGUGUUCCGACACACUAUCGUUAACUGAAUACAUAGGUUAACGAGGCGAACCGGGGGAACUGAAACAUCUAAGUACCCCGAGGAAAAGAAAUCAACCGAGAUUCCCCCAGUAGCGGCGAGCGAACGGGGAGCAGCCCAGAGUCUGAAUCAGCUUGUGUGUUAGUGGAAGCGUCUGGAAAGUCGCACGGUACAGGGUGACAGUCCCGUACACGAAAGCACACAGGUUGUGAACUCGAAGAGUAGGGCGGGACACGUGGUAUCCUGUCUGAAUAUGGGGGGACCAUCCUCCAAGGCUAAAUACUCCUGACUGACCGAUAGUGAACCAGUACCGUGAGGGAAAGGCGAAAAGAACCCCGGCGAGGGGAGUGAAAAAGAACCUGAAACCGUGUACGUACAAGCAGUGGGAGCACCUUCGUGGUGUGACUGCGUACCUUUUGUAUAAUGGGUCAGCGACUUAUAUUCUGUAGCAAGGUUAACCGUAUAGGGGAGCCGAAGGGAAACCGAGUCUUAACUGGGCGUUAAGUUGCAGGGUAUAGACCCGAAACCCGGUGAUCUAGCCAUGGGCAGGUUGAAGGUUGGGUAACACUAACUGGAGGACCGAACCGACUAAUGUUGAAAAAUUAGCGGAUGACUUGUGGCUGGGGGUGAAAGGCCAAUCAAACCGGGAGAUAGCUGGUUCUCCCCGAAAGCUAUUUAGGUAGCGCCUCGUGAACUCAUCUUCGGGGGUAGAGCACUGUUUCGGCUAGGGGGCCAUCCCGGCUUACCAACCCGAUGCAAACUACGAAUACCGAAGAAUGUUAUCACGGGAGACACACGGCGGGUGCUAACGUCCGUCGUGAAGAGGGAAACAACCCAGACCGCCAGCUAAGGUCCCAAAGUCAUGGUUAAGUGGGAAACGAUGUGGGAAGGCACAGACAGCCAGGAUGUUGGCUUAGAAGCAGCCAUCAUUUAAAGAAAGCGUAAUAGCUCACUGGUCGAGUCGGCCUGCGCGGAAGAUGUAACGGGGCUAAACCAUGCACCGAAGCUGCGGCAGCGACGCUUAUGCGUUGUUGGGUAGGGGAGCGUUCUGUAAGCCGUUGAAGGUGGCCUGUGAGGGUUGCUGGAGGUAUCAGAAGUGCGAAUGCUGACAUAAGUAACGAUAAAGCGGGUGAAAAGCCCGCUCGCCGGAAGACCAAGGGUUCCUGUCCAACGUUAAUCGGGGCAGGGUGAGUCGACCCCUAAGGCGAGGCCGAAAGGCGUAGUCGAUGGGAAACAGGUUAAUAUUCCUGUACUUGGUGUUACUGCGAAGGGGGGACGGAGAAGGCUAUGUUAGCCGGGCGACGGUUGUCCCGGUUUAAGCAUGUAGGCGGAACGAUUAGGUAAAUCCGGUCGUUUUUUAACGCUGAGGUGUGAUGACGAGGCACUACGGUGCUGAAGUAACAAAUGCCCUGCUUCCAGGAAAAGCCUCUAAGCAUCAGGUAACAUCAAAUCGUACCCCAAACCGACACAGGUGGUCAGGUAGAGAAUACCAAGGCGCUUGAGAGAACUCGGGUGAAGGAACUAGGCAAAAUGGUGCCGUAACUUCGGGAGAAGGCACGCUGAUAUGUAGGUGAAGCCCCUGCGGGUGGAGCUGAAAUCAGUCGAAGAUACCAGCUGGCUGCAACUGUUUAUUAAAAACACAGCACUGUGCAAACACGAAAGUGGACGUAUACGGUGUGACGCCUGCCCGGUGCCGGAAGGUUAAUUGAUGGGGUUAGCGGCAACGCGAAGCUCUUGAUCGAAGCCCCGGUAAACGGCGGCCGUAACUAUAACGGUCCUAAGGUAGCGAAAUUCCUUGUCGGGUAAGUUCCGACCUGCACGAAUGGCGUAAUGAUGGCCAGGCUGUCUCCACCCGAGACUCAGUGAAAUUGAACUCGCUGUGAAGAUGCAGUGUACCCGCGGCAAGACGGAAAGACCCCGUGAACCUUUACUAUAGCUUGACACUGAACACUGGUCCUUGAUGUGUAGGAUAGGUGGGAGGCUUUGAAGCGUGGACGCCAGUCUGCGUGGAGCCGUCCUUGAAAUACCACCCUUUAAUGGCUGGUGUUCUAACGUAGACCCGUAAUCCGGGUUGCGGACAGUGUCUGGUGGGUAGUUUGACUGGGGCGGUCUCCUCCCAAAGAGUAACGGAGGAGCACGAAGGUUAGCUAAUCCUGGUCGGACAUCAGGAGGUUAGUGCAAUGGCAUAAGCUAGCUUGACUGCGAGAGUGACGGCUCGAGCAGGUGCGAAAGCAGGUCAUAGUGAUCCGGUGGUUCUGAAUGGAAGGGCCAUCGCUCAACGGAUAAAAGGUACUCCGGGGAUAACAGGCUGAUACCGCCCAAGAGUUCAUAUCGACGGCGGUGUUUGGCACCUCGAUGUCGGCUCAUCACAUCCUGGGGCUGAAGUAGGUCCCAAGGGUAUGGCUGUUCGCCAUUUAAAGUGGUACGCGAGCUGGGUUUAGAACGUCGUGAGACAGUUCGGUCCCUAUCUGCCGUGGGCGCUGGAGAAUUGAGGGGGGCUGCUCCUAGUACGAGAGGACCGGAGUGGACGCAUCACUGGUGUUCGGGUUGUCAUGCCAAUGGCACUGCCCGGUAGCUAAAUGCGGAAAAGAUAAGUGCUGAAAGCAUCUAAGCACGAAACUUGCCCCGAGAUGAGUUCUCCCUGAGACUUUAAGUCUCCUGAAGGAACGUUGAAGACGACGACGUUGAUAGGUCGGGUGUGUAAGCGCAGCGAUGCGUUGAGCUAACCGAUACUAAUGAACCGUGAGGCUUAACCUU
Molecule: ribosomal RNA, 2828 nt
Filed under: Enterobacter roggenkampii
Lineage: Bacteria; Pseudomonadati; Pseudomonadota; Gammaproteobacteria; Enterobacterales; Enterobacteriaceae
Description: partial 23S ribosomal RNA
Rfam family: Bacterial large subunit ribosomal RNA
Source: RNAcentral